CCUACGGGAGGCAGCAGUGAGGAAUAUUGGUCAAUGGCCGGAAGGCUGAACCAGCCAUGCCGCGUGAAGGUCAGUGCCCUAUGGGCGUUAAACUUCUUUUGUGCGGGAGCAAUAAUGGUCACGUGUGGCCAGACGAGAGUACCGUACGAAUAAGCAUCGGCUAACUCCGUGCCCGCAGCCGCGGUAAUACGGGGGGUGCAAGCGUUAUCCGGAUUUAUUGGGUUUAAAGGGUGCGUGGGCUGGGAGGUAAGUCAGCGGUGAAAUGCCCCCGCUCAACGGGGUGAAGUGCACUUGAUACUGCCAUGCUGGAAUGCGGAAGCCGGGGGAGGAAUGUGUGGUGUAGCGGUGAAAUGCAUAGAGAUCACACAGAACACCGAUUGCGAAGGCAUCUCACGAAUCCGCGAUUGACGCUGAUGCACGAAAGCGUGGGUAUCAAACAGGAUUAGAUACCCUAGUAGUC
Molecule: ribosomal RNA, 460 nt
Filed under: uncultured bacterium
Lineage: Bacteria
Description: partial 16S ribosomal RNA
Rfam family: Bacterial small subunit ribosomal RNA
Source: RNAcentral